Musa acuminata AAA Group (dessert banana) is the source of this 1110-nucleotide RNA transcript. It is a transcript of the gene named short-chain dehydrogenase/reductase SDRA, with no coding region annotated. NCBI's taxonomy places the organism in Eukaryota, Viridiplantae, Streptophyta, Magnoliopsida, Zingiberales, Musaceae. The transcript has 7 exons. The record is from RefSeq and is a predicted model, not a curated record.
GGACAAAGGAGCAAUCUUCUUUCACUAUAAACGUCGAUACGCCUGUCCCUCGUCGUUCGCUCGCCGACUGGAGCGAGAUGGAGGGGAAGGGAUCGGAUUCGCUGUCGCCUAGCGAUUGGGCCUCGAGGGCGCUGCCGUCGUCGUCUCCUCCCGCAAGCAGAGGAACGUCGAUGAGGCGGUGGAGAAGCUGAUGUCGAAGGGAAUCGAGGUGAUGGGGGUGGUCUGCCACGUUUCGAAUCCCCAUCACCGGCACGAUCUCAUCGAGAAGACCGUCCAGAAUAUGCUUUGGAGUGUAGCAUCCUGAUGCACCCAGGAGGCGAGAGGAAUCCAGCAGAUGGAGGCCAAGAUCAAAUCAAAUUGGACAAAAGAAGAGGGUGGUGUUUGUCAAGUCAAUGCCUGGUUUUGUAUCAUUAGAAAUAUGGUCACAUAGGCAUAGUUGUGUCGAAUGCUGCUGCUAAUCCAUCAGUGGAUAACAUUCUGGAUACCAGAGCGUCAGUGCUUGAUAAACUUUGGGAGAUCAGUGUUAUCUUCCGCAGUCAUCCAUGGCCAUGUAUGGUGUCACAAAGACUGCUCUUCUCGAGCUUACUAAGGCUCUUGCUGCUGAGAUGAGUGAACUGUAUAGCUCCUGGAUUUGUGCCCACACAUUUUGCUGAUUUUAUCACGAAAAUGAUGCCAUCAGAAAAACCAGAGAGGAGAAGACUUUGCUUAAGAGGCCCGGGUCUACGGAAGACAUGGCUUCUGCCGCAGCCUUUCUGGCAUCUGAUGAUUCAUCCAACAUUCCUGGAGAAACACUUGUGGUUGCCGGAGGGAUGCCUUCCAGGCUAUAAUCCAUUCCCAGACUUCACCCUGUGAUGAUCAUUUGUUGCUGCUGCCAACACAUGCCGAGUCUCAAGAACAUCAUUUUGUAGGCAGAGCAGAGUUAGACAAGCUGUAAUAAAUCAUUCAACCAUCUGAAGUUGGAGAUAUUGAAUUUAUUUUGUGCCUGCUUAGUGAAAUUGAGUUGUGUUUACCAUCAAAUGCUGUGGUCAAACAUAACUGUAACCUUUUUUUGGGAAAAAAACGUCGAAGCCAAUAGCUUCUUAUGAGAAUUCACCUUAUUUUAAUCAUUGA